Molecule: ribosomal RNA, 608 nt
Filed under: Cladosporium colocasiae
Lineage: Eukaryota; Fungi; Ascomycota; Dothideomycetes; Cladosporiales; Cladosporiaceae
Description: eukaryotic LSU rRNA
Rfam family: Eukaryotic large subunit ribosomal RNA
Source: RNAcentral
GCAUAUCAAUAAGCGGAGGAAAAGAAACCAACAGGGAUUGCUCUAGUAACGGCGAGUGAAGCAGCAAUAGCUCAAAUUUGAAAUCUGGCGUCUCCGACGUCCGAGUUGUAAUUUGUAGAGGAUGCUUCUGAGUAACCACCGACCUAAGUUCCUUGGAACAGGACGUCAUAGAGGGUGAGAAUCCCGUAUGCGGUCGGAAAGGUGCUCUAUACGUAGCUCCUUCGACGAGUCGAGUUGUUUGGGAAUGCAGCUCUAAAUGGGAGGUAAAUUUCUUCUAAAGCUAAAUAUUGGCCAGAGACCGAUAGCGCACAAGUAGAGUGAUCGAAAGAUGAAAAGCACUUUGGAAAGAGAGUUAAAAAGCACGUGAAAUUGUUAAAAGGGAAGGGAUUGCAACCAGACUUGCUCGCGGUGUUCCGCCGGUCUUCUGACCGGUCUACUCGCCGCGUUGCAGGCCAGCAUCGUCUGGUGCCGCUGGAUAAGACUCGAGGAAUGUAGCUCCUUCGGGAGUGUUAUAGCCUCUUGUGAUGCAGCGAGCGCCGGGCGAGGUCCGCGCUUCGGCUAGGAUGCUGGCGUAAUGGUCGUAAUCCGCCCGUCUUGAAACACGGACC